AUUUAGGAUUAGAAUUUGAUUUAGGAUUUAGAAUUUGAUUAGGAUUUGAUUUAGGAUUAGGAUUUGAUUUAGGGUUUAGGAUUUGAUUUAGAAGUGGUUAAGAUUUGAUUUAGGUUUAGGAUUUACUUAGGGUUUGAUUUAGGAUUAGGAUUUGAUUAAAGUUUGAUUUAAGUUUAGAAUUUGGUUUAAGAUUUAGAAUUUGGUUAGGAUUUGAUUUAGAAUUAGAAUUUAGGAUUUGGUUAGGGUUUGAUUUAGGGUUUAGGAUUUGGUUUAGAAUUUAGGGUUUGGUUUAGGGAUUAAGAUUUUUUUAGGAUUUAAUCAGGAUUUGAUUUAAGGUUUAGAGUUUUAUUUGAGAUUGUUUAGGAUUUAAAAUUUAGUUAGUUUUUGGCCUAAAGUUUGAAUGAAGUAAGAUUUCAACUAGGAUGAAAUUAAGAUUGAAUUGAGAUGUAUUUGAGAUGUGUUUGUAAUCAUUUUAAUAUUUCUUUAAGAUUUCUUAUUGUUUCUUUGGAAUUCCUUUGAGGUUUCUUUGAAUUUGAUUAAAGUUGGUUUAGCAUUGUUAGUGU
Molecule: long non-coding RNA, 563 nt
Filed under: Physcomitrium patens
Lineage: Eukaryota; Viridiplantae; Streptophyta; Bryopsida; Funariales; Funariaceae
Description: long non-coding RNA (PPAT_LNC014092)
Source: RNAcentral